This 520-nucleotide ribosomal RNA is filed under the name uncultured Glomus. RNAcentral describes it as "SSU rRNA". It matches the Rfam family "Eukaryotic small subunit ribosomal RNA", at positions 569 to 1091 of the family's 1831-position model. Lineage: Eukaryota; Fungi; Glomeromycota; Glomeromycetes; Glomerales; Glomeraceae. The record is from RNAcentral.
AGCAGCCGCGGUAAUUCCAGCUCCAAUAGCGUAUAUUAAAGUUGUUGCAAUUAAAAAAGCUCGUAGUUGAAUUUCGGGACCAAUAUGUCGGUCGUGCCUCGGUACGUACUGGUGUCAUUGGUUUCUCCCUUCUGAGGAUCCUUGAUGUCAUUAAUUUGGUGUCUUGGGGAAUCAGGACUGUUACCUUGAAAAAAUUAGAGUGUUUAAAGCAGGCAUACGCUUGAAUACAUUAGCAUGGAAUAAUGAAAUAGGACGUUCGAUUCUAUUUUGUUGGUUUCUAGGAUCGACGUAAUGAUUAAUAGGGAUAGUUGGGGGCAUUAGUAUUCAAUUGUCAGAGGUGAAAUUCUUGGAUUUAUUGAAGACUAACUACUGCGAAAGCAUUUGCCAAGGAUGUUUUCAUUAAUCAAGAACGAAAGUUAGGGGAUCGAAGACGAUCAGAUACCGUCGUAGUCUUAACCAUAAACUAUGCCGACUAGGGAUCGGAUGAUGUUAAUUUUUAAUGACUCAUUCGGCGCCUUAA